This 3777-nucleotide long non-coding RNA is filed under the name Triticum aestivum (bread wheat). Its description in RNAcentral is "long non-coding RNA (TAES_LNC013622)". Lineage: Eukaryota; Viridiplantae; Streptophyta; Magnoliopsida; Poales; Poaceae. The record is from RNAcentral.
AGGAGCAAGUGCGCCAAUCAAUUCUGAUGCGGUGAGAUGCACAGGGAGAGGCCUGCAUCGGCAAGGCUAGCAGGAGGCCGUCCUCAGGAGGUCUGCGCCACGACGCCGGUAGGUACGGCCGCAAGGAGUGAAUUAAGUAUCCAUGGUUGUUCUCUGUUUUACACCCAUAGCAAACUUCAGAUUUGAGCAUUGAUCCAACUGUUUAGUAGUAAACCAGAUCACUUAAUAUCAAUUGUUCACUCUGAGUGAAUCUCACAUCAAAACACCCAGUUUGCAACUGUACUGAAAUACAAGGUGUUGGACAAUUUGUUCAGGACUACGGUCUCUGAUUUAGGUGUAGGAGAAUAUAUUUUUUUGACGGGUAGGUGUAGGAGAAUUUCUUCAGACUAUGGGCCUCUGAUUUAGGUAUAGGAUAAUCUCUCUCCAUGUUAUGUUUAUCAUGUCCUUUGAAAAUGCAUGAAUCUCUACUAUCAUGUUCUUCAGAACAAAUUUAAGUCAUGGCUCAAAAACUUUCACACAGAUUCUUUUGAUUAGGAACGAAUGAAUGAUCAAUACUUAUACAUCUUCCUAUUAUUAGUUAAUUAGGAGCACCAUAGUACCUAGCUGUUAAUUUGUAGACGCUUUUAACUGUUACUUGUGAUUUUUCCUCUCCUUGCAGUUGGUCCUGUUUUCCCAUAUCAUCUGCUUUGUAGAGAUAAUCUCUCUUUGAUUAUGCAUUUGGCUUACUCAUUAGUUCUCCUAUUUGCUUCAGUAUCUUCACCAAGGAGUUCGGAGGCGAUGCAGCAGUGGUGAAGGCGAUGGUUGUGCCGGGUGCAGGCAGGUGCAGACGGGUACAUUCCUUGACAGUCAAUUGCUUUCGAUCCCAUCCGACUAUCAUGCAGUCUGACUUAAGAUGACUAAUUGUUUUUCAGGGUGAAUUGAGUUCAGAUCCUUGAACAAAUGAUUGUGAUUUUGUAGCUGCAGUGGUGCUAUUCUUUAUUAUUACUUGGUAUGUCAGUACUUCCUACCUACUUGAAUUUCCCUAUCCCCAAUUUAUGGGAUUUUUAAUUUUUGAUAUUUCCAUAAAUGAUUAUACACAACUUCUGAUAACACAUGCCACCUGGUUUCCGUUCUCUAUAAGAACUGAGAAGUACGUAUGCACUUCCACGACAUAUAGGUUCAUAUGGAUGUCUUUCAACGACAUAUAGAGAGAGUGAUAGGAUCAGACUAAGACAUGAAAGUCUGACACACAAACAAAAGUAUACGGCAUGUACAUACUGUUCUUUCAUAGUAUAUGGCAUGUAUAGAACGUUCACAUACAAACAAAGCUACCAAAAAAAAUAUUAGUAGAUGUACCACAAUGAUAGCUCAUGUACAAUCCAAAACAAAUAGUUAGUUUAAUUCAUUAAGUGGAUCCAUCAGCAGCAACAGUAACAACUUUAAGAAGAAGCAAUUUAUCAAAUAUGUAAUCAGACAAAACUGGGGACACAUUUACCUUUUGUGACUUUUAACUGUCCCGUCAAUGCAUCAUGUUCAUAAACACGUUUGACCGUUAGGCUGGGAGUGAUGUGCUUUCCUUUUCUUUUUUCUCCUUUUUCUGUUUAGAAUGCCCCUUUUUCUGUUGAUGAGGUCCUGUUAUGUUCUCUAUCAUCAUGAACCGUAUCUGGCAUGUUAAGGUCAGAUGUUGCAGUCUGCGAUAGUUCCUGUGGAACAAUCUUUACCGAAAUGAGUAGAAAGACAAUUAAAACCAAUGAAGAGUAUCUCCAGACAUUAGACAUUAAGAAUUGCCCUUUUGGUUGUGUCGUGCAAUUUUUAUACCUGGACUCCAUUUGGGGAGUUGAUCCAUAGUGGAGAUGCCGCUAAGAUGGCAUCAAUUGGCAUUUUUCGCAUUGAUCGUUUCUUUUUCCUUGCUACGUUGGUAUUGCUAGCAAGAUUUACCCUUUGGCAGUGAGAUCCACACGGGGUAAGGUCGUGUGAGGCUACAAAUGUUACAGCCAUUUAAUAACAGUAGAAAAACCUCAUCAACUAUAUGUAUGCUCAUUGUGAUAAAUAAUAAGAAAUUAUGCUCGCAAUUACCUGGCAUUGGCACUGGAGUCAUUCGGGAAUGAUGAUCAACAUUAGAGAUGUCACCAAGAGGGGCUCCGUUAGAGGCAUCACCAAUAGGGGGUCGGCACAGAUUUGGCGCCUCCAUAUCUUCAAACGUCAUGCUCCGUUGGCGCUCAAAAAUGAACUUAAAGAAAACAUUAAGAGGAGUAAGAAACUGAAUAGUUUGUGUGUGAUUUUCCAAAACUACAUUUGUAAAAGCGCAGAAGGAACUGAUGUAUAUUCAAUAAUGUACUGAAUCCACCUGUUCAGUUUGGCGAUUCUAAUGUACCAUGACCAGUAACUUUCCGCAAUAGAAAAUUCCAGUCGCCAAACAAAGCCAAACAUCGAUACCAUUAUUAGAUUACAUGAUCAUUUACACCUCUCAGAUUGAGAUGAUGCAUUAUCUUACGAAUUGAUAGAACAAAAAUAGGUAACUACAGAAACUCAUCUGGCCUGUCAAGUAACUAAUACAUUCUGUUGCUUUGAACAGACUUGUAUUCUUCUGCGCUCACUAUGCCUGCAAACAGAAGCACACGAUUUUGGAUGUCCUGAAGCGCAUACACACGAUUUUGUUUGACUUGGUAGUUUACUUGCAGUUUCAUCACAAUUUACACAGUUUUCUCCUUGUGCAUAAACCUCUGUAAGCGUUUAACCGUUAGCGUCUGCACCAUCUCUUUUGUAGGGUGUUGAAACUGCCCUUUUGUCAUAACAUUGAUACAGUGUGAUGCCUAUGGGAAGAAGUGGUGCUUUGAGAGAAUAGGUAUCUGGAUCUCCUGGUUAUAUACUCUUAGAAGUUAGAAAUCAGUUUUCUCUUAUUGAUGGUUAGCAUGCUUGCCUACUUCUGAAUCUUUUCUCCAGUUAUGUGAAAGCCAUCUAAAAUUGCAUCUACUCUUUCACUGUAACAGGUUACUGAAGUGCAGUCACGUGCAUUGGCUUUCUCAUGUGGGUUGGGCCUCAUACUUUUCUGUGAAAGCAAUCGCAUUAGGAGUAAACUGUUCAUGCGAUGGCUUUAUGAGAUGUGAUGCCUGUAUGAGAUGCGAUGAUGUAUGAGAUACGAUGGCUGUAUCAAAUAAUACCUAUAUCUCGUCGGCGUCUCCUCGUCCAGGAUCAGCGCCGGAUCCUGGACGUGUUCGGCGGCGGAUCCUGGACGUGUCCGAUGGAGGGCGGCGAGUGAAGCGCCUUUGAUGUGCGAGGCCGGCAGCGAAGGGAUAGAGCGGCGGCGGCGACGAAGGGAUGAAGGGCGGCGGCGAAGAGGGCAGAUAGUCGUGCGUGCGAGUGGUUCUCGCUCGGGCAGGAGACCUCACUUGUACGCGCGGGCGAUUGGUUUAGGUUUUUUUUCGCUGGUUAAUUUUCGUAGGGUUUUUUCUUCGCUGGUUAAUUUUCGUAGAUUUUUUUACUUCGUUUGUCUUGGGUGCGAUGGGAGGUUAGGCCCUGGAGUGCGUGGGGCGGGUGGGGGCCUCGGUACGAGGUUUUUUCGGUUCGUGGCGGCUCAGUGUGAGGUGAGAAAGGUAUAAAAAACCAUGAGAGGUGGAACGAAAAAAAACCUGAAAACGAGACUAUCAACUGCUCCUCCAUUAUAAGUAAAGAUUAAUUGGUGGGAAAGUAGAGGACAAUACUAAUUCAGAAGCAAUAUAUAAUUACGUACAUAUACAGUACAUGCAUGCAUGUCAGUCGAGAAGCUUUAUGGUGAUGUUGCCGAAUUUGAUAUUCUGG